AUUGAACGCUGGCGGCAGGCUUAACACAUGCAAGUCGAGCGGUAACAGAGAGAAGCUUGCUUCUCUGCUGACGAGCGGCGGACGGGUGAGUAAUGCCUAGGAAUCUGCCUAGUAGUGGGGGAUAACUUGCCGAAAGGUAAGCUAAUACCGCAUACGUCCUACGGGAGAAAGGAGGGGACCUUCGGGCCUUUCGCUAUUAGAUGAGCCUAGGCCGGAUUAGUUAGUUUGUGAGGUAAUGGCUCACCAAGACCGCGAUCCGUAACUGGUCUGAGAGGAUGAUCAGUCACACUGGAACUGAGACACGGUCCAGACUCCUACGGGAGGCAGCAGUGGGGAAUAUUGGGCAAUGGGGGGAACCCUGAUCCAGCCAUGCCGCGUGUGUGAAGAAGGUCUUAGGAUUGUAAAGCACUUUAAGUUGGGAGGAAGAGCAGUUAACUAAUAUUUGACUGUUUUGACGUUACCGACAGAAUAAGCACCGGCUAACUUCGUGCCAGCCGCCGCAGUAA
RNAcentral lists this ribosomal RNA (506 nucleotides) under uncultured bacterium. RNAcentral describes it as "partial 16S ribosomal RNA". It matches the Rfam family "Bacterial small subunit ribosomal RNA", at positions 30 to 523 of the family's 1533-position model. The record is from RNAcentral.